AUUGAACGCUGGCGGCAUGCUUUACACAUGCAAGUCGAACGGCAGCGCGGGCUUCGGCCUGGCGGCGAGUGGCGAACGGGUGAGUAAUACAUCGGAACGUGCCCAGUAGUGGGGGAUAGCUCGGCGAAAGCCGGAUUAAUACCGCAUACGACCUGAGGGUGAAAGCUGGGGAUCUUCGGACCUCGCGCUAUUUGAGCGGCCGAUGGCAGAUUAGCUAGUUGGUGGGGUAAAGGCCUACCAAGGCGACGAUCUGUAGCUGGUCUGAGAGGACGACCAGCCACACUGGGACUGAGACACGGCUCAGACUCCUACGGGAGGCAGCAGUGGGGAAUUUUGGACAAUGGGCGAAAGCCUGAUCCAGCAAUGCCGCGUGUGUGAUGAAGGCCUUCGGGUUGUAAAGCACUUUUGGCGGGAACGAAAAGGACUGUGCCAAUACCACGGUUCGAUGACGGUACCCGCAGAAUAAGCACCGGCUAACUACGUG
This 484-nucleotide ribosomal RNA is filed under the name uncultured bacterium. Its description in RNAcentral is "partial 16S ribosomal RNA". It matches the Rfam family "Bacterial small subunit ribosomal RNA", at positions 30 to 507 of the family's 1533-position model. The record is from RNAcentral.